Long non-coding RNA from Oncorhynchus tshawytscha (Chinook salmon), 2057 nucleotides. NCBI's taxonomy places the organism in Eukaryota, Metazoa, Chordata, Actinopteri, Salmoniformes, Salmonidae. The record is from Ensembl.
GGAGUUUUUCCUAGCCACCGUGCUUCUACACCUGCAUUGCUUGCUGUUUGGGGUUUUAGGCUGGGUUUCUGUACAGCACUUUGAGAUAUCAGCUGAUGUACGAAGGGCUAUAUAAAUAAAUUUGAUUUGACAGUUUAAGACACAUUUUAUUUGCCUUAAUUACUCAAAUAUAGACCCAGCUUUCAUUUGACAUACUCCUAUGAACUUCACGUUGGUGCUUGUGGCUCCUUUUACCUAAUGUGAAAAGGCUACUUCUAGGCAGGAAGCCUUGUUCUAUAGUAAGUGAACAGGGCCAGGACUUGGAAGGCUAGGUCCUGACUGACAAGUAUUACAUCACUUUGGGUCCAAGGCUGCAGUGGCCUAGUUUCACAGUACUGUCAAGGGGUUAACACCUAGUGACGUUCCACACACACACACACUCAACACAGACACACACCAGAACGUGACCAUGUCCAACAGACAGGAAUAACAGCAGGUGACCAUGUCCGACGGACAGGAAUAACAGCAGGUGACCAUGUCCGGCGGACAGGAAUAACAGCAGGUGACCAUGUCCGGCGGACAGGAAUAACAGCAAGUGACCAUGUCCGACGGACAGGAAUAACAGCAGGUGACCAUGUCCGGCGGACAGGAAUAACAGCAGGUGACCAUGUCCGGCGGACAGGAAUAACAGCAGGUGACCAUGUCCGACGGACAGGAAUAACAGCAGGUGACCAUGUCCGACGGACAGGAAUAACAGCAGGUGACCAUGUCCGGCGGACAGGAAUAACAGCAGGUGACCAUGUCCGACGGACAGGAAUAACAGCAAGUGACCAUGUCCGACGGACAGGAAUAACAGAAAGUGACCAUGUCCGGCAGACAGGAAUAACAGCAGGUGACCAUGUCCGACGGACAGGAAUAACAGCAGGUGACCAUGUCCGACGGACAGGAAUAACAGCAGGUGACCAUGUCCGACAGACAGAUGGACAGGAAUAACAGCAGGUGAUAAUGCCUGCAAAAAUGCUGCUCUGGUCUUCUACUCCCCCUCAUCCACUUCUUAAAACACUAGGUUCCACGAAGACAAGGAAAUAACAUAUAGGUGGUUGAAUGGACAUAUACGUAGGUACAUGUCAACAUUAUCAUAUAGGUGGUUGAACGGAGUUCUACCUGUGUGUACAUGUUCAUAUGCAAGUUUGUCAGUGUGCACCUGUGUACAGAAUGUGUGUGUGCGCGCGUAUACACAGUACGCAUGUCUAGUGUGUGCAUAUUCCUACCUCCCAGGUCCUUCUCCUCCUCCUCCAGCUCCUCUUUAAGUUCCUGUAGUUUGCCCAGAGGGUGCAGAGCGGGCACCGUCACCCCUGGGAUCUGGGGCAGGCAGCAUGGAGGAGUCCGGGCAAUGGGAGAGUUCCGACAGUCCAGCAGGAACUUCCUGUCGUAGAUGAUGCGUGUUCCUGUCGGGGGGUAUUAGCUUGGUGGUGCAAAGGGGGUGAAUGCAUAUACACGCACCACUUUUCCUUUAAGAAUUUUUUUUAAACAAGUUAUUUUAAUUUCACCAAAUUGGACUAUUUUGUGUAUGUCCAUUACAUGAAAUCCAAAUAAAUGACAGGUUGUAGUGCACCAAAAUAAGAAAAAACACUAAGGGGGAUGAAUACUUUUGCAAAGCACUGUAGGUCCUGGAUGUCAGGAAGCUUGGCCUCAGCGAUGUACUGAGCCGUAUGAAAGACCCUCCGUAGCAACCGGUCAGUGCAUGCCCUCCGUAGCAACCGGUCAGUGCAAUCCCAGAACAUAUUCCAGUCUUUGCUAGCAAAACAGUCCUGCAGCGUAGCAGCCGCAUCACCUGACCACUUCCGUAUUGAGCGAGUCACUGGUACUUCCUGCUAUAGUUUUAGCUCGUAAUCAGAAGGAUAGAAUUAUGGUCAGAUUUGCCAAAUUGAGGGCGAGGGAGAGCUUUGUAUGCAUCUGUGUGUGGAGUAAGUGGUCAAUAGUUUUUUUUCUCCUCUGGUUGCAUGUGACAUGCUGGUAGAAAUGAGGUUAAACGGAUUUAAGUUUGCCUGCAUUAAAGUCCCUGGCCACUAGGAGCG